UGAAGAGCCUGAGGAUUGUGCUAUUUAAGUGCGACACAAAACAAAAAACAAUGCCAGUGAUUUUGGCCACUGCAAUCAGACCACCUAUUGCAAUCCCUAACAGUAUUACGCUACAAUCUGAAAGAUUUCAUAGUUUCAACAAUUUUUUUCACUUUCACAGAGAACUGUAUUUUCGAGGGAACGCUAUUUCCCGAAAAUUUGCUUUGUGGCCUAACAGAACCCUGAAUCCAAAAACCAUGAUAGAUUCGAUGAGAACCCAUGUGAGUACAAGGGAAAAUGGGGUUCAAUCUUUUGAACAGGAAGCUUUCAUUGAAGGGCCCUCUGAUUCUGGAGCUGUUGGGCUCGAAGGGACUCUCAAUAGUUUGGUAAAUUGUCUAUUUGCAAUGAAAGUUUUAAUACGUUUAAUAUCUGUAUAUAGUAUGUUUAAUUUAGUAGGUUGUUAAUUUUAUUUCUGUAUCUGACUUGCGUGGUUAUAUGCUAUAAAAAUUCAUAUUUAAACUUCGAUCGAAAAGUGACUUGUGGUAUGGAUUCUCUUGUGAAAUAUUCCUCAGGGGUGGGGCGGGUGUGGGGGGUUCCUGGUUUCCCAUCCUACCAAUUGAACUUUAUGUGAGAUGGAGAUGAUGUCUGUAAUUUGGAAAGGAGAACGAGUUGAUAGUCAUUCCUAUAGUCAAGAUUUCGUUUCAAUCGAUUUCAAUUUUAGAACUUGAUAUCUCUAAAAAAAAUGUUUAAUCUGCUGAGUUUUAUAAUCUACUAUGGAAAAACUAAACUUGUUUGGUCUUCAUGAGUCUGUUUAGUUGCUCAAUUUUAGAUAACGGGGAAGGAAGGGAAGGAUUUGAAAAAUGCUAGAAAUUCUCUCAAUGUGAAUAACUUUAUUCGGAAAUUUAUGCAUCAUUUUGUGACAUUUUAUUUAAUUAUUACUUUGAAAAAUCAUGGUCUGAGUUGCUCGUCCAGAAUAGAGGAAUAUUUUUGAUAUUGGGAAACAAACAAUGGAAAAUGCACAUUUGGAUGGUCAGUUUUUAGUAAGUCUAUUUUUUUUCACUCAAUAUGUUACUUUUUGUAAGCUGAGUCUUAUAUGGUGCUUUAAAAUCCAAGAUCAAGGGGAGGAGUGGCUAAACAUUCACUUUCUCCCAAAAUGACAUGGGAGGCAAAUCACAAAACUUCAAAAAUCUAGAUCCACCACCCGACAUACCACCUUUACCCGGUGGAUUUCAACCCCAAACAACCAAAAAUCAUCCAGUACUCCAAGCCACAAUGGUUUUGGAAGCAAUAGAAUCAGAUUUAUAUGAAAACAUUGAAGGUACGAAUCCCAAUGUUUUCAAAACUCCACUCUACGCAUUGAAUCAGGGUCUGGGACCAUCACCAAUGAUUCCAGAAGGGUCGAAAACCCUAAACCCCAAACCCUAACCCUAAACCAAAACCAAAUCCUAAACAGCACUUUCUCUCUCUAACGCAAAAUGCUCUCCCUUCUCUCUAAAAUGGGAGACAAAUCACAAUUCUUCAAAAAUCUUGAUCCACCACCCGACAUACAACCUUUACCCGGUGGAUUUCAACCCCAAAAAACCCAAAAUCUUCCAGCACCUCAAGCUACAAUGGUUUUGGAAGCAAUAGAAUCAGAUUUAUAUGAAAAUGUUGAUGGCACAAAUCCCAAUGUUGUCAAAACUCCACUCUACGCAUUGAAUCAGGGUUUGCGACCAUCACCAAUGGUUCCAAAAGGGUCGAAAUCCCUAAACCCUAAACCAUAAACCCCAAACACCAAACCCUGAACCCUAAACCAAACCCUAAACCACACUUUCUCUCUCUAGCCCAAAACACUCUCCCUUCUCUCUAGAAUGCGAGACAAAUCGCAAACCUUCAAAAAUCUUGAUCCACCACCCGACAACCACCUUUACCCAGUGGAUUUCAACCCCGAACAACCUAAAAUCUUCCAGUACUUCAAGCUACAGUGGUUUCGGAAGCAAUAGAAUCAGAUUUAUAUGAAAAUGUUGUUGGCACGAAUCCCAAUGUUGUCAAAACUCCACUUUCCGCAUUGAAUCAGGGUCUGGGACCAUCACCAAUGAUUCCAGAAGGGUCCAAAUCCGUAAACCCCAAACCCUAAACCGCACUUUCUCUCUCUAUCCCAGAACGCUCUCCCUUCUCUCUAAAAUGGGAGACAAAUCACAGGCCUUCAAAAAUCUUGAUCCACCACCCGACGAAACACCUUUACCCGAUGGAUUUCAACCCCAAAAAAUCCAAAAUCUUCCAGCACAUCAAGCUACAGUGGUUUUGGAAGCAAUCGAAUUAAAAUUUAUAUGAAAUUGUUGAUGGCACGAAUCCCAAUGUUGUCAAAACUCCACUCUACGCAUUGAAUCAGGGUCUGGAUCCAUCACUAAUGAUUCCAGAAGGGCCGAAAUCCCUAAACCCCAAACCCUAAAACAAAACCAAACCCUAAACCGCACUUUCUUUCUCUAGCCCAAAACGCUCUCCCUUCUCUCUAAAAUGGGAGACAAAUCACAAACCUUCAAAAAUCUUGAUCCACCACCCAACACACCACCUUUACCCGAUGGAUUUAAACCCCAAACAGCCAAAAAUCAUCCAGUACUCCACGCCACAAUGGUUUUGGAAGCAAUAGAAUCAGAUUUAUAUGAAAAUGUUGAUGGUACAAAUCCCAAUUUUUUCGAAACUCCACUCUAGGCAUUGAAUCGGGGUCUGGGACCAUCACCAAUGAUUCCAAAAGGGCCAAAAACCCUAAACCCCAAAGCCCAAACCCUAAACCAAAACCACUCCCGUUUUAUGGUUCUAUUCAUGGAAAGUUUUUGUACUAAAGGCAUUUAUAUCCUAUCUGUGGGUUAGAAUUAUUGUUGUUCUGGGUGCUAUCGGAUUUGCUGUAGGAUUUAUUCGACAUGUUUACCUGACCUGGCUUCGAGAUGAAAACUGAAUUUAUAUUCUCAGAAAGUAUUAUGGCAACAAUCGUUCUCUUUUGUCCUGCAGAAUUCCGUUUAAUCUGGAUGAUAUUUGACCAUUGAAAUUCAUGACCAUUGUGUUCUUAUUUGUAAUCAUUGUUGAACCCCACUUGACAUGCACAAGAUGGAAUGUGAAUUCUUCGAGAUCCUUCCAUUCUUCAAACAGAAAAUGACAAAUAGAUUCAAACUGAUUCUAGAAUGUCUUUUUGAAUAUUGAAUAAAGCUGCAGAACCAAAGGUUCCAAUCCUGCCACCUCAGCCCCUGAUUUUGAAUGGGGCGGGCCCCAUGAAUUAAAGAUCAAGGGUCGAGGAAAUUGCCGCCUCGUAGGGAUGGCAAUCGGGCUCGCUGGCUCGGGCUGCCCGUGGCUCGGCUCGAGGCUCGGUAGCCCGAGCCUAGGUUCGGGCCAAGCCCCAUUUCGGGGACACGGGCUUUGCCCGAGCCGGCCCGUGAGUUCGCGAGCUUUUUAAUAAAAGAAAAAAAAAAUUAAAUUGAAGCCUUAAAAGGCAACAAAUCUGCUGCCUUAAAAGGCAGCAGAUUAGAAGAAGAACCCACAAAAAACAAAAAAAAAGGUGGAGAAAACGAGCCUGCCCGGCUCGGCCCGUUAAAAGUCCGAUCAAAAGCUCGGGCCGAGCCUAUUUUUUUGGCCGAGCUUUUUGCGGGCUCGAGGCCAAGCCCGAGCCGAAACUUUAGGCUCGCGAGCCCACUCGACCCGGCUCGUUUACAUCCCUAUCGCCUCGGGCCUAGAGCCAAUCCGGGGUUUUAAACCUGGGAUCUAAAGCAUCUCUCUUGAAUAUUUCAUGAUGUCUUGACUAUUCAAAUCAAGACAAUUUUUGAGUAAUCAAUGACUUUUCGAUGGAGAAUGGUCAAUAAUAGUUUCAAUUUAAUGAAUAAGGGAUCCAGGCUUUAAAAAUAGUGUUUUGUAUGAGCAGGGAAAAUCAAAUAAAUAUAAUCAUAUUAUCUGGAACUCAAAAAAAUAAAAAAUAAAAAAUAAAGAAUAAAGAAAUAGUCAAGAUUCAAUAACUUUACCCGAAAAUCAUUACUGUUUUAUGAUGACAACAAUCGUAAUAAAAUCUUGAAUAAUGCUACUUGUAUAUUAUGAAGUUAUGUAAUAAUUUACGUAUAGAUGAUGUUUAAAAAGAAAUUGGAAAAGAAUUUUAUUAUUAUUAUCAUUAUUUUCUUCAUUUGGUUGAAAAAAUUCUUAUCCAAUCAUAUCUCAUUAUAUCAUGUGUAUGUAAACCAUUAUGUACGUAUAGCAUAAUCGUAAAAUCUUUGUUUACUUAAUCUAUUACAAAAUCUUUGUCUUCUCUGGUUAUGUCACGAUCGACCUGUCUUUGCACACUUCUUUGCAACCGUGCACCUCUGGGAAAUAAAAAAAAACACUAGGAUAAGAGUCUUUGCACGCUUCUUUUUUCCCCCAGAAUUUGGUAAGCCUUCAAUAAGGAGAUCCAAUAACAACUAGGAAUUAAGACACUGCAAACGAGCUUUUAUCUAACAGAUUCUCUGCAUCAUUAGCAGUAAGGUCUUUCUAAUGUAGGUUCAGUCUUCCAAAUUCCAAAGGUCUGAUCAGAUGUAAACAUCCAAACAUUUCACAGUAGUUCCGUAAGGGAAGCACCACUAUGGGUAAAACUUACCAAAGAACAAACUCAACAUGUGCAUCUGUUCGCUUGCAGAGCACGAAUAAGUACAAAAACCAUUUUAAGAAUAAUGGCUUCAUCCUCAAUCUAACAGUACUUUAUGAGUGAUGCGGAUCCAAAUUGGUUGAGCAGCAUAAAAACAAGACAUUUGCUCCACAACAGUGUAUCCUCUUUCAAGGAAAAUGUCUUCAUGCUUUGUCAUGCCUUAUUGCCGCUUUACUAAAAACACCAGCAAACGAUGCAUCCAUUUGACAUUGUUGAAAAAAUGACUUAAAUCUCCUUCCAUUUGUUUACUUGAUAUCGGCGAGCCAUAUCAUCUCGAAGCAACAUUUCCAAUCAAUUUCGAUAAUCAUCCCUGAUGAUGAAGUUAACCUAAAACCAACUUUGUUGACAGUGUAUAUUGCAGUUUUCAAGUCUAAAUAUGACACCGAAUCUUCCUUCCUAUAUCACUGUGCGACUCUCCCAUGCUAGUCCAAAAGGAAAAGAGUUGCCAUGUAUGCAACAGUUUUCAUGAUGAAAGAUGCUGGUGUUAAUCUCCUGCAUCAUACAGGAAUAACGCAACUUCCUGUACAGCAAGAUCUGCUCUAAAGGCUACCAACUUCAAAAUAUUGUAUAUUUCUUCGCACUCUGGAUGCAAUCCAUCACCAGCAACGAACGCAGAAAUCUGAUUUUUGACCUUAAUCCAAGACCAACCAGGUUCUUUCAUAACACCUUUUGAUUUCAUGAGUUUCCUCAUGUCUGCUGCUUCCCUCCACUUCCCUCUUGAAGAAUAUAUAUUAGCCAAGGUUAUAUGAGUCCCAGCACAAUUUGGAUCCAAUUUAAGUAUCUGCUCUGCGGCACGCUUUCCACAUUCUACAUCUCCAUGUACUCUACUGGCUCUUAACAGAGUUGACCAUACGACAUCGUCCCGUUCAUACGGCAUGCUUCUUAUCAUUUUUUCUGCUUUGCGCAACUGUCCAGCUCUACAUAGAAGAUCAAUCAUGCAACCAUAAUGUUCUUUAGUAGGAUUUAUCUUGUACUCACUAGUCAUUGAAUCAAAAUACUGAAAGCCGAGAUCAACAAUUCCAACAUGACUACAAGCACUAAGGACACCAAUAAAUGUUACAGAGUCUGGCCUCAAACCAACCACGGGAAUUUUCUCAAAUAGAUCAAUUGCUUCUUGGCUGUAUCCAUGUUCAGCAUAUCCAUUGAUCAUGGCCGUCCAUGAUACAAUAUCAUCAUUCUCUGCUACCUUAAAUAUUUUAGAUGCCUCUCCUAUGCUCCCACAUUUUGAAUACAUGUUGAUCAGAGCACUUCGUGUCAUAGCUCUUUGAUCUAAACCAAUUGUAAGGACAUAAGCAUGAAGUUGCUUACCCUGAUCAAGAAUUGCCAUACUACCACAUACACUCAACCCACUAGAAAGAGCAAACUCUGUGGGGUUUGGUCCUUCUCUCCUCAUCCAUGAUAGAAGCUCAAAAGCCUUCUCUGUAAAACCUCCUUGAGCAUACCCGGCAAUAAUAGUACUCCAAGAAAUGAUGUCUCGCCUGGACAUUUCAGUGAAGACUAUUGAGGCCGACUCACAGUAUCCACAUUUUGAAUACAUUGUCAUGACAGAAUUUGCCACAGAUAAUGAGUCCAUGAGACCUAUAUGUAAAACAUGCGCAUGCAUUUGUUUUCCCCAAUCAAGUCUUGCAACAUUGGCAACACCAGAAAUCACAGCUGCAUAAGUAUACUCAUUAGGACAUACGUUCGACUCUCUCAUCUGCAGAAACGCAUCAAUUCCCUCCUUCUCUUGGCCCAUCUGGAUGUACGAUGUAAUUAUAGUUGUCCAUGAAACCACAUCCUGCUUAUUCAUUCUUUGAAAUAAGAACAAACCGCAUUGCGCUCUCUCACACUUAUUGUACAUGGUAGCAAGACUAUUGGCCACAUAUGAGGUCACAUCUACUCCAUUCUUCAUGGCUCGAGCAUGAAUUUCCUUCCCAGACUUCAAAUAUCUCAUAUCAGCGCAUGCCUUCAAUGCAAUGGCUAAAGUAUAGGAAUCAUAUUCAACACCGUCUCUCCACAUUUCAGCAAAAUAGAUCAAUCCCUCCUUGUUAUAACCGGCAUGAACAAGCCCCGUAAUAAUGGCAGUCCAUGAAACUACAUUCCUCAACGGCAUCUCAUCAAAGAUUCUACAACCCUCCCAAACACUCCCGUUCUUCAUAUACAUGUCAAGAAUUGCACUCCCCACAAAAACAGAGUUUACUAAACCAGUUUUCACUGAAAACACAUGUAACAUUUCCCCAUAUUUCAGAUUCAUAUUCAGCCCACAAGCCUUGAACGCAAGGCUAAGUAUGAAGGGGUCCAUUUUGAGACGCUGGUCGACCCACAUUUUGGAAAACAAAGACAAUGCUUCAGACGAAUCAGACGCAUUCACAUAGCCCGAAAUCAUGGUUGUCCAUGAAAUUUCAUUUUUGUGAGGAAUUUCAUCGAACAAUUUCCGUGCACGGUUCAAGUUUCCAGUUUUCAGCAUGCCCUUCAGCUGAGAAUUGAUUUCUACCAUUUCGAUUUGAAUGGCAUCAUGGGAUUUCUGUGUCAAGUGAUUUCGAAGUUCUUCCUGAGAUAAAACGUCCCAGGUUUCGGCACACGCAACGGCAUAUGUUGCAUAAAAUCUUCUAAUAAUAUUACCCCUGACUGACAUCAUCAUAUUUGAGAAUCACCAGAUCAACAAGACAAGUUUUAGCAGUGUUUAACGAUGAGGCCUAGUGCAACAACCCAACAUUUUUUUUAUGCUGGAUGGUGACUCCAAAAUAACUAUAAUAAGAUGUUGAAAGUUCAUAAGAAUAGUUGUCAUGGACCAAUCCAAUUUCUCAAGUAAAAAACUUUCAUAAAAUAAAACAAAGGAAAAAAAGGGUAUAGUUGAGUAUUAAAAUUUUCAAUUAUCAAGAAAUUGGUGCAUCAUUUAAAUAUUGCUAGGAAAAUCCAAUAACACAAAACAUUGACGAAGGAAUGAGAGUACAACUACUCUUUCUGAUGUUAAUCAAUACAAAUCUUUAAGUUGAUCCAUUUCAAUAUCAAGUACCAAUUUUCUUGAUACAGAUAUCGACGAUGCUUUUGUGAAUAAUUCAUUUAUAUUAUCACUAGAAUAAAAAAAUCUCAUAUCAAUAGUAUCUUUUAGGUAACAAAGAACAAAAGUGAAAUCCUUUAUCCUAGAAGCUGGGCGCAUGAUACCCGUAAGUCCUCUUUCAAUUUUAGGAUAAGCACGAACCAUGCAUCUUCCCAUUCAAAACUAUUUUCGACAAUGAAUCAUAAUAGUGAGUCAAUGGGCUAUUUUGUAGAUCCUUCGGAAACUUUGGUAGAUUGCAAAUGCUAGGCCCUGUUUGAGCCCCAAUAAUUUGAAGAAAAUGUAUUAUGGAAUAGUUAUUGAUGAAAAUGUGUGGUUAAAAAAACGUAAAAGUUUUUUAUUUGGGUGUAAUAUUAUUUUAAUGAAAAAUGUGUGGUUAAAAAUGAGUACAAUAGAAAAAUAAUGAGAGAAAAUAUAAAAUAAAGGAUGACAAACAGGGGCUUAAUAUAUAUAUGGAUAAUGCGUUUAACAUUAUUUUAAAUUUUUGAGUUGGUGUAGAAUUAUAUCUAGCAAAUAAAUUUACAAGAAAAUAUAUAUCUGGUCAAGUGCAAUUUGAAAGUUAGUUAAUGCUCCAUUUACAUUUACAUAAUAAUGAUUGAACGACCGUAGGAGAUGAUACCCAAUAUGUUUUAUACAUAAAGAUAUUUUAAAACUUUUGUGUAUAUAAAAUUGGUGAAUAAAAAAAUCAUUCUUAAAAAUGUUUAAUUUGCGACUCAAGACAGAAUUUGGUUUUUCCCAAAUCUUUAAUCUCAAAUUCAAUUUUUAAGUAAUAUGAAUUUCCCAAAUAUUCAAAAAAAUUAACACAAUUGCAAAUUCAUUAUUUUUUUUUUUUAUGAAGAUAAAUAGGCAAAUGUCAUCAUUUUUAUCACCUCUUGCACCAAAUAUUCGCUAAAUGACCAACAAUUGCUAUUCAUUUUAUAUUACAAAAGUGUACGGAUCGUGAUGAGUAAUAGAAAAAAUCUAAGAGUUCGUAUUAACGUUCCCACUAGUACUACUAUUCAACAGUUAGUUCAGACUACUCAUAUUGAGUGAAAACGAAUAAAGAUAAUUUUUUUUCUAUCGUAAAUAUUAUAAGUCUCCGGAAAAAAAAUUAAAAAUGUGUUUCUAUAUGAUUGUUUAAGUGUUAGAAUUCACGAGUACACUAUAGUUAUCCUCUUAAUUUUAAUCAUCGAUUUUACAACAACUAAUUGUGUGUAACUGAUCGAAUCCUUCUAUUUAAUUGAUUUACCUCUUUUGAGUUCACACCAAUAACCCGAAUCACCCUAGUGGAUAAAAAACGUAACGUGCACCGAUGAUAGAUGCUGACUAGAUGUCAAAUCUAUUACCUAGGCUGACUAUGAGUUAUUUCAAAAAAAAUGUAUCAAAAUCAAAUGUUUAUGUAAAAUAUAAUGCGAUGAGCCCAAAUUAUUACUUCAUGCUUCAUCAAUAUGAGUUAUAACACUCAACAUGUCUUGUGGUUCUCAUUCCGAAAUCAUUAAGCUCUUUCAGCUAAAAAAAAAAUCAAUUGUUACCUAUAGGAAAAAUUAUGGAAAAAUAUAUGAGCUCAUAGCUCAGUGAGUGGAGAAGUUCGAAAAUAUUUAUACUUUUUCAAUUUGACAUUUUUAUAAAAAUCGAGUUCAUAUAAUUGAUUAACUUGCAAGACAAUAUUAUAUAAUUAUAGACAAAACGAGCGACAUUCAUAUACGUUUCAAAUAUCAUCUCAAAAUCAAACUAUAAAUAUCAACUGAUAACAAUACUAUAAUCUCAUCACAUCAAAUGUACUGAAAAAUCUACCAAAAAUGUACCAUCUGACUAAAACCUAUAAUUCGUCCCUCGGUUAAGAACUUUCGUCACGGGCCUUUGGCCUCCUUGGUGAACGAAAGUCGAACUCAAGACCUCUGAUAAUUAAUUGUAGAACACGAUCAAGGCCUCUCAGUGAACUAUAAGUAUAUGGUCAAGACUCCUUUAUCCCCGGUCCAAGACCCCUCAGUAUAGUAUAGAAUACGACCAAGGCCCUUUAGUGAACUAGAAAUAAUAUGUAAUCAUGGGUACUUUUCUGGUCGUUUUCAAUAUCACACAUCUCACAUACCAAAUCACAAACGUACCAUAAGUAAUCCUUGAAAUUCCACAUGGAUCAUAACAAAAGAAAGUUUCAUCGUAAUCACAUAAUGGAGCAAAUAAUUUACAUAAUUGUACAUACUUUGAUAAUAUACUUAAUUUAUAAAUACUUUAAAAAUAUUUAUAUUUUUCUACUCACAUAAUUAACUUGGUUGGUAAGCUGUCCCGAUAUCCGUAUCGCCAUCUAAAAUAUGAUAUAAUUUUUAAAUCAACAAUUAAUUAUUUUAAGUAAUUUCAAUAAUUAAUAGGCGAUACCAAAACUUAAUCAUUUCACGUUUAAGCAAUUUUUAAAGUCUCAUCAAUCACUAAAACUAAAUUUUAUUUCAUUUAACUCAAUUUCAUAACUUAUUAUACUCAACCCCUUCAAUAAAAUUGAAUUUAAUUUAAUAAUCUUACAAUUAUAAAAUCAAACAUAACUUGACAAUAAAUAACUUUUUAAUUACUUUUCAAAAUUGAGAAAUUCAAACCUAAUAGUGUAGACCACUUAUUUUCUAACAACUUAACAAAAUUUUUCUAAAUUUUUUUUUCUGUGUUCUCGUUCUCAUGUUUUGGUGGCGUAUGAUAAAAAAUGAGAGGAAUGGGAAAUGAUUUAUUGUUAUAUUCAAAGCCUCCACAUUCUUUCACUUCACUUUUUUUUUUUAAUUCUUUAUUUCAUUUCUAUUCAUUUAUUUUGUUAUUUAUUUAUUUAUUGCUUGAUAAAUUUGACAACUUUUAGACUUUGACUUACACUUACUAAAUGAAUUGGGAUAUUACACUUUAUAUGAAUUCGAAUAAGUCUUAAUAAAGAGAAUUCAAUCAUCAAAAACUUUCUGUAAUAACUGUGACACUUAUAAAAGCGUAUCUCUACUCUUUGUUCCAAAUUGCAAAUUUUUACUACGUGACAUAAACAAAUAACUUGCAUCUCGACGUAAUAAUUGUUCGCAAAUCAAUGAAUUAGUGGCAAAUUAAUUCAAAGCAUUAAGAAUGGAAGUAAAAAUAAUUCACAACUUAAAUUGGAGAUAUAAUUUUUUGAAAUUAAAAUUAAGGUUCGAAGUAGGUAACAAUCGUUCAUCCUAACUAAGUGCUUAAUUAUAUAUCUUGGAAAAAGAAAAAUACAAGGGAGAAUUAAAGUAAAUCAUUGGGUUAUAAGGAAAAAGACGAAGAUCUUGAACUAAUAAUUCACUUUUUUCUUUUAAAAUCCUUGAAAACCUUAACUUCAUAUUAGUUUUUUAUUUUUAUUUUUAAUCUCCUUUAGGAGCUCUCUUUUCUUGUAAUUAAUAUGAUUUUUUUGCGUCCCAAAAUGUCCCUUUAUUAUGUGAAAUAUAUGUAUAAUGGAUUCUCGUAAACCUCGACUUGAAUAUAUGUGUAUAAUGAAAUCUCACAAGCCUCUACAAGCCCCUUCAAUUGUUGGACUAAAGCAUGUAUUUGGCUUUUAAAAAACACUAAACAAACGAUAUCAGUACGUUUAGGAGAUCAAAAUAAGUAUUCUGCCUGAAGAAGGCUCGCGUGGAAAGUUGCUGCACACACCACCAUCGUCACGCGCCUCUGUUCCUCCAACCGAGGUCUCGUUUGGCCGAAAUUUGGAAUUUUCAGAUAUGGUUCAAAAGGAAAAUCGCGUCUCCUUCGUGAUUUUGGCAGGUUUUUCAACCUCCAAACUCUGAUACCAGAUGUAGAUGAGAAAGACCACAGCCACCAAGGUAAUACCGAGCUUAGUUCACCACCAAGAUCAACACCACAAUUCAAACAAGACCAAACACCUCCAACCAGAUUUCUUUCCUUUUCAUGGUUGCUAGUCAAUGCCCACAAAGAGACUACAAAGGAUAGUAAAAAUCUCACAAAGAUCAACCCCAAAGAUAGUAAAUCGAGAAUGAAUCGAGAGAUGGAUAAGAAGAAAGAAGGCAGUGAAGUCACGCACUCUAGGCAGCAAAGGAGAGACUGUCCAUUUAACCAAAGGGGCUGGCAAAAUAAGGUAAGUUAGGUUAGGUUAGGUUAAGGUAGUAGUUCAAGUGGCCAAACACAAAAGAAUAGUGGGCCAAUAAAAUGGGUCUCAUUGCUAAGCAAUCCAAGUGAAUGGGUUGGGCCACGAGCAACUCUACUAAACUAGGUCGCUUUGACUGGUCCAUUUCAAAUUGGAAUUUGGUCGUUCAUUUUGUAGUGUCAAUAUAUCGUUCAAUCAUUGCAUAAGUCGACUGAAAUUAUAACUGAGUUAACAUCACAGCUCGAGGAGGUCAUUUGACAACAAUUUACCAAACAAUUGUAGAUUAUGAUUUUAUGAUCAGAUGUUGUAGUUGAGACGCUGUGAUUAAUUGCAAACAUUGGGAUCAAAACCAUCCAAAAAUUCUUGAAACCAAAAGAUAAUUUUUCUCAAACGCAAAGUGUUCGAUAAAAUUAUCCAUUGAAUGUCCUUUUAACCAUUAGGCCCCAAACUCGCACAACAGACACAUGCCGCUGUUUGAGCCACAUUAUUUCUCAUUACAUUAAAUUAAAUUUUUGUCUCUCUUACUUUUAACAACACAAUCUUCAAUAAAAUAAUAUUACACUUAAAUCAAAAACUUUUCAACCAUUUAUUUUUCAAAAAAAAUACUAUUCAUCUCAUUAUAAUCUACAAAUAAUGGGGCUCAAACGGAGGCUUAUUGAUACAUUAAUUUUCGUGCAAAAAUAUUUGCAUGAUGAUCUAUAUUGGGGCUCUUUAGAGACGAAUGUGGCAUGGGAAAUGCAAAGGGCUCCAUCCCGUACUACGUCCAAUAUUCCAUCCUUUACUUUGUUUCUGGACUUUUGUACUCAAGUUGAGGGCAUGCAUUUAUUAAACAUUGAACCCCAACUUUGAGGACUCCCACCAGCCCGCUCCUUGAGGGCAUGCAUUUAUUGUUUUUUAAAGUGGUUGUUGACAUUGAAACAUAAGACCCCUUUGGUGGUGGAGAAGGAAAAAAGGAAAUUGACUGCCAAUUCUUCUGUCCCCCAUCCCUGAGUGUAGAAAGGGAGCAUUCGGCAAUUCCUUAACCCGAAUAACCAUGACCAUUGAAAAUGCAUGGUCAACCAAUGGAAGCUCUGGCCCAAAAAGGUGGGUAAUUUUGGAAGAUUUUUUGGAUUUUACGAUGACACGUCACACUUGAUAGGGGCACGAGUUGGGAGAAAGAGGUUGAAGCAUGUCACCUGGUAUAUCUGCCAUUGGUGAAGGAUUUUCUAGCAAACUUCAACACCAAACUCAACGAAGCCAGACCAUCUCAUUUGCAUCAAAUAUGGGUGAUAAGUGGAUCACAUUCAGCACUAGGUGAUUGACAGAAGUAAAGGGUUGAAUCAAGAUGACAUUGUACAAUUACCGGUCGAGCAUAAUAUGGAGUUUUUGACUCAAUACUUGUAUGGUUGAGACUAGCCAUUUCCACAAUGAGUCCAGUGUUGCCAUUUUAGCCUCCGCCAACAUUAGAUUGAUAUCCGGGAAGCUUAGUUUCCUCUAUUUCAUUUAUUUUCUACAUUUUGGACUGUAUAAUACUACAUUGAGGAAAAUUUAGAAAUUAAAUGUUGGAGUGGAAAUUACUUGGUCUCCUUGUAAAUUAAUCUAUAUUUUGCAUGAUAGAGUCUACUUUAUUAUAUUGCUUAUGUUUAAGCCCUUAUUUGUUGGGGAUUAAAAUCACAUUUUCAGUAAGUUUUUAUUAAAUUUGAUGAUAUGUGUGGUUGAAAAGUUGUCGAUCCUAUAAAAUAUGUGGUUAAAAUUAGUUGGUAACUUUGACCUAGAUUUUAAUCCCUACCAAAGAGGGGAUAAAUGUGAUAUUGUAUUGAAAUACUUCGAAUUUGGUAUUGUUUGGGAAAAUGUACUUCAGUAAGUGCAUAACUUGAUUCAAGUAGCAUCAGUAGUUUUGAGAAUGAUUAACACACACAUUCAAAAGUUGAGAAUACGAUAUGUGGAGAUUGGAAACCAACUUUUCAUUCUUAUGUUUCGUUAACUUGUUUGAAUUUUGACAUUUAGAUAUUCACGUUGAGAAAACAUUGAAUAACAUAUGUUGAGUGGAGUAGUAUAUGUAUUUAGUUGAGUUUCUAUUUUAGUUUAUUUGAGAAUAUAUAAAUGUUCAAGUUUGGAAGUAUUUGCGCCACUAAAAGGGGGCAUAUAUAGUUCUUUCGAGAGUUAACUAUCUAAUUUUUUGUGUUUAUGAUUAAUUUAGGAUAAAACCCGAUUUUCAACGUGAAAGAAUGAAAAUGGGUGAGUUUCGAUAAAAAAAAAAAAAAAGGAUUGAAGAUUGACAAAAUCUGGAUUUUGGGGACAAUGUAUUAAUUUUGGAAGUUGAAGGACUUAUAUUAUUGAAGGACUAAGGCAGAACAAGAAAAUGAAUUGGAGGACUAAAUUGCACAAACCUGCUAAGUCAUUUGAACAUUACUGUAAUCUAGUACGAUCACAAAGCACUAAGUUUGAAUUCUAGCAGGCAAUAUGAUAGAAGCCUGUGCGAUCGCAGCCCUCAAAAGGGUGCGAUCUCAUUAUUUCGAGGAGAAAAAAAAAUUAUAGUUUUCUAGUUUGACUCACACUCUGGUUUUCAGCUUUAUAGGAUUGAUUUACAACCGUAUCGAAAGACUUCAAAUAUGUUUAGCCAUUCUUUUCAUACAGAGACACAUUCUUGAGAGAAAUUACAUAGAUUCAUAUGUAUAUUCUCAAGAUUUUUGUAUAGGAUUUUAACAUUUGAUUACAAAAUUUCAUCAAUUUGUCGGAAGAUCUACAAUCAGCAAAAGGAGUUGAAGAAAUUUGUAUGGAUUAAUAUAGCAAUGAACAAUAAUAGAUCUUAUCUUCAUUCGUUGUAAUUGUAUCCAAUGAUAUUUUUAACCAUAAAUUUAUUUAGUUUUGCAAUUAUGAGUGACUAAUUUCUUAAUUGUUAGGAUAAAAAAAUGUAGCUUAGGUUUAAAUGUUAAUUUAAUUCGAAAGAAUUUAUGUAAACUUGAUUAUGUGUUAAUACCUUAUUUGGUAGUUAAUUACAUUAAAUUGCUUGAUCAUUAAUCGAUUGACUUAUGGACAAUAUUGAGACCAAACGGCGAUGUAUUAGCCUAGCUUGUGGAAUAAGUGAUAUGGGUAUGUUAUAGGUUAUGCAAUCUUUAUUGAAUUCCUACGAAUUAAUGCAUUAUAUGUAUAAUUUUACAAAGAUAUAGCCCCUUUUGAGACUCAUUUUGGUAAGAAAAUGCAUUUUGGAAUAGUGAUUUGUUCGAAAAUGUGUGGUUUAAAAAGAAUUUUUUUUUAAAAAUUUACGUGUAAUAUUAUUUUAUGGAAGAAUGUGUGGUUGAAAAUGAGUUUUGAAAAAAAUAAUUUUUUGAAAAAAUGAGAGCCAUACAUAAGUAUAGCAAUUUCAGGCACGUGUAUAUAGCUAAUUUUUCUCAACAAAAAUCAUUAGCUAAUAAUUGUUCAAUUCAACCGUUAACACAUGAAAAAGGACUAGUGAUAUUGAAUUAUGUGAAUAUUAAUUAAAAUUAGUGAAGUUGAAAAUCCUAACUACCUAAUCCUAUAAAUUCUUCCAAAAAGCCUUAAGCAUUGGUUAAAUUAGAUAGAUUUAGUAGAGCUUUAGUUUUAACCUAAUUUCUUGAUUCAUUACUUGGUAACCACAUUAAUUUAAUUUAAAGCCAGGUUUAAGAUAGAAAUUAAUAGUAGGUAAAUAAUCUUUGUGAGAAGGACAUUUGAACUAUAAAAUUAACUUUGUGAGAAACAGUUUCUAGGUUAUAUUUAUUUGGAAGCUCUAAUCCUUAGAUGCUCGUAUAUGGCAAGUUUCAGAGAAUUUUGCACCACCAUACUCAAAAGGAUAUCUAGAACUUGAUCUUCAUGUUUAUUAUCUAUAAACAAAAUUUCUAGGUUCUUGAAGAUCUCUUUGAAGACGGCAUAGAUGAAAUUGCUAAGAAACUCAACUUGUCGUGCCCCUUUGUUCCUAUAGGAUUCUGUGAUCUCGAGUUUGUGGUUGACAAAUCCAAGACCCUACCGAUUGUUUGAUUUUCCACAAGUGUAUGACAUCACGAAUAAGUAAUAAAGUGAUGAAUACAAUAUUGUUUUCACGAAAACUAUUUACUUAAUCUGGUAUCAAUUAAAGUUAACUUUAAUCGAAUAAUAUAUUUUGUUGAAGAAUUUAUGCUAAGUUAAUUAAUUAAACUAAUUAUUCUAUCCAACAAUUUAUAAAUCUUUUGUGAAAUUUGAUGUGAUAUUGCUAAUUAAAACUUUGAAUUCCCCUUAUUAAUCUAUUUCAAUGCAAAUCAAUAAUAUGACAAUAUGUUAUUGAUCAGUGUUCUUAAGUUAAUUAAAAGCAUCUCUCGAUAUCAAUUAAAUCUAUCAUUUUUCGUGAAUUUCUUAUAUCUCUAUGAAAGAUGCGAACAUGAAACAUGCAUUAAAAAAACUAAAACAUCCAUAAAAUCAUGCAAAGCAUAGCAAUAUAUGUCUAUCUCGUAUCGAAUUUUAAAAUAAAUGUGAUAGAGUGCUAUCUAUCCUAUUGUUUCUCUCGAAAUCAAUAAAAUUUACAAUGAAUUCAAUUAGUGAUCAAAUAAUUGAAAAGUCAUUAAAUCCUAUAACAAUCAUCCAAGAAUAAGCUCAUAAUUGAACGUCAAAUUAUCGAAUUUAUAUUAAAACAUAAUAAUAAAGGCUCAUCAAGAUCUUAUAAAUUAAAACACUAGCCUAGAAUUACAAAAUCACAAGAAAAAAUAUUUAACUGCAAGAACAUAACUUGGAUUUUUUAUUGAUAAAAAAGAUGAAGAAAAAUCUCGAAAUCUUGAAUAUUUUCAAUGGUUUCUUUAUAAAUCUCUAAUAUAUAUUCCUUUUUCUUUUCAAAAAUUUAGAUUGAAACUCCAAUUUCUUGAAAACUUGUAAUUGCUUUUUAAUUCUAAUAAGAACAAUGGAUUGACCUCUUUUUGAUGAUGUUAAUAGAUGAAUUUUGGUUUAUGAGAUGUAUAUGAAAGGUCUAUAAGAGUUCACUUAUAUUGGGUGCCCAUGUUAUGCAUUUAUAGGGAUGAAAUUAGGUCAAAAAUCAUGCAAGAAAGUAGUUUCCAUAUAGAAUUUUGAAUAAAAAAGAAAAUUGGCCACAAUCCCAGAUUUUGGCCCUUUUUCUUCUUUGCUUUAUAACUAUCAGUUGCCCAAUUAUACCAUUUUUCAAACUUUAUGUCUUAGUCCUUGAAUUCGAUUCUUGAUUCUUUUAAGUCCAUUUCUCUUGCAAUUUUGGUUCUUCAACUUCUAAUUGUAUCCAAUUGAAUUCAUAAUAUCUUCAAUCUUUGUUUUGUUGUUCGAAUAACUAUUGGAUGUUUGCAUUUUAGUCACCAUACUUGCUUUUCAUCCCUUUUUGCCAAUUUUUGCUUCUUUUUUUCUCAAUUCCUCUUCCAUUCAUCGAGUUUCACCUAAUAGACAAAAUAUAUACAAGAUUAGGCUAUAAUUUAUCAGAAGAACAAUGAAAUAUGAAUAUUUUAAAACCCUACGUGUAUAAAAUAUAUUUAUCAAACACCUCAAACAUGAACAUUUGUUUGUUCUCAAACAAAACUAUAAAAUAACUUAACAAACGAACAUGCAACAAAAUUUUGGUUUGAUAACCUACAAAUUUGUCUCAAGAUUAGAAUCGUUAUUAAAUUUAUAAUAGUUUCAAGGUCAUAACACCAAAAUCAAUAUCCAUUUCUCCAAUGCAAAACUGAUGUGUGUGUGAAGAAUUUAAGUCAAACACAAUGAAUUAACAAGUUGUUUUGAUUACUGACCUUCAAUAGUCAAAUUUAUUCCUCUACUUGUAAAAUUUACAUACUCCCAAACUUAUCAUUGUUACUGUUUUCCUAGUGUUUUGAUCUAAGGUAGAAUCUUUGUACUAACUCCUCACCUUCUCUAAUUUAGAUGGAUCUCACUAAUUGCAAGUUAAUAUUUCAACAAAUAAGGAUUCUCCAAAUUUUUGUUUGCUUUAACCUCCAAGAAAUAACCAAUAUAAUAAUCCAUUGUUAGAGAUCCAAUUCUCUCAAAUAAGUGUUUGUGGCAUAACCAAGAUAUGUUAUGAGUCUUUUGUUUCAUGCACUUGCUCUUUUCAUUUUUUAUUUUUUUUUUGUUUUUGUCCUCCCCCCCCCCCCACCCCACAAUUUCACUUCUCUUAUAUGCAAACUUCUCUUUAUUAAGCUAUCUAAAUAACUAUUGUAAUGAGUUUUUGGUCGAUGACUUCCAAGUCAGGUGACCAUUGGGCACCAGGUUUAAAAAUAUAUAUUUUUGCAGACUUAAUAAUUCGAGUUAUAAAGGAUAUGAAGAGAUGUUUCACAAUGAGAUAGUUUUUUAAUUUCAUUUUAUGUAAUGAUUAGUGCAAUGUCCUUGUUAAAUACUCAUUCUCCAAAAUCGACCAUUAACUUAAGAUUUUCACCUUUUUUUAUUUUUUAUUUUUAUUUUUUUUGCAAGCCUUAGACAAUCCACACAAGAAUUUACACACAUGAAACCCUUUUUAUGUCAAUAUCUUCCUACAACAGUUCAGCCAUCCCAAACUUUACUAAAUUUGGUCUGAGGAUUGUAUAAUGUAAUAAAUUUUUUUUUUUUUUUUUUUUGGGAUUCAUCAUCUAUGUUCUACAACUUCUACCUAUUAAGCAUAUGAAUCAACUCAUUACUUCAUAGUGCUAAACUUAAUUAUGCGCGAAAAUAAUAUUGAAUUUUACAUGGAUAAACAUCCAUUAAUUUAAGCACAUAACUUAUUCACAGUUCAUAAAGCAACAUACAAUUCUUAAUAAAUUCAUUAUUGCCGAUAAGGCUAUCUAACCUACACAAACAUACAAUAAACAAAGAAAAAUAUUUUUGAGUUUUUGAAAAUGAAUUAAUUUUUCUUUUCUCAUACAUACAUAAUAAAGUAGUAAAACACAUAAUCAUAAAAUAAAACUAAAACUCAAUAUUUUUCGUACCCCCAAGUUAAAGUAGACAUUGUCCAAAUGUCCUAUUGUCUACUAUAGCACAUAAAGGGACGAUGAAAAGAAGAAGAAGAAAGUACCCCCCCUCCCCCCGAAUUUUUCUAUCUAAUAUUGGAAGUGGCUUUUUGGUUCAUUCCAUUCCAACCUUUUUUGAUAAUGUGAUGUAUGACAACCUUUUUUGACACCCUGGAGCCUUGGAAAAUGUGCCACAUGCUUUUUUCCUAUUUCUGACUCAAGCAUAUAUAUAUAUAUAUAUAUAUANNNNNNNNNNNNNNNNNNNNNNNNNNNNNNNNNNNNNNNNNNNNNNNNNNNNNNNNNNNNNNNNNNNNNNNNNNNNNNNNNNNNNNNNNNNNNNNNNNNNNNNNNNNNNNNNNNNNNNNNNNNNNNNNNNNNNNNNNNNNNNNNNNNNNNAUAUAUAUAUAUAUAUAUAUAUAUAUAUAUAUAUAUAUAUAUUUAUAUUUACUAGGCUUAAAAUAGAUAAGAUGACCCUUAUAUUUAAAAACAUGUCCAAAACUAAUGCAACAUAAUAACGACAUGUGAUGGAAAUGCCUAAAGCAUAAUAAAUAGAAGGGUAAAAAAUUGGGUUACCUCCUAAUAAGCGUUUAAUUUAAAGUCUUUAGUUAGACUUUGUAGAGGAGUUAACCAUGGUGGUAUAAGGUGGAGUUCAUUUGUAAAGCUUUAAUCAUAAUGUUUAGCAUUGCGAACCCCUUUAUUUAUUUUUCAUGUUUAAAGAGCUCCUACUUCAUCCUUGAUGUUCCAACUGUUCCACAAACUCACUCUUUUUUUUAAUUUAAAUUUAGGGUGGGACUUUAAAUGCUCUUUCACUUCUUCUUCCUUAACCUUUCUGCUAUUCUCUUCAUCGGAAGGUUUCUUGAUGGUGGUAUAGAUUUUGAACUUUUCUUGCUAAUCAUCCAUCCUCUAGGUUAGUUCGCCUACUUCAAAGUCUGUGAUGAUAGGAAGGAUCGUCCCAAGAUAGUUAGUGAUGCAUCCCAUGGUUCUUCUAUGUCUAGGACAGUGAAGUCUACUGGGAAUAUAAACUUGCCCCCUUUAAUGAGCACGUUUUGAGCCACUGCUCAAGGGUAUUUUAUUGAUCUGUCCGCUAGUUGAAGAGUGAUAGUUGUGUCAUUUAGUCUUCCAAACCUAAAUUUUUGUAGGCAAAAAUAGGCAUUCAAAUUUAUACUUAGUCCAGAAUCACAUAAACAACUGAAAAGUAAAAUUACUUCCUAUUGAGCAAGAUAUUAUGAGACUCCUUAGAUCUUUUAAUCUAGGAGUUAAUUUUUUAUUAUUUUUAUUUUUUGCAAGAUUGCAAUGCGCUUCCCAUUUAACUUGAUCGUCUUAAAUUUAGUAAGCUUUCUUUUCUUUGACAAGAUUUCCUUCAAAAAUUUUGCAUAGCUUGGUAUUUGAGAUAUGGCUUCAAUUAACAAGAUGUUGCAUUACGCUUUCUAAAUAUGUCAAUAACUUUGCAAAUUGGUCUUUAAGCUUCCUUCUUUUUCAUUCACACAUUCUCCAAAAAAUACUAUUCCACCCAUUAAAAUUUGAAAUAAUGGGGUCCAAACGGGAGCUAAAUUAUCUCCUUUCAAACUCUUGGAAAUUUCAUUUUCCAAACAUUUUUCCUCCAUUCCCAGGUUUUUAUUUUUGCUGAAGUUGUUUAUGGAUUUGGAAACGUCAAUUGUUCGUGCGAAACCUAUAAGCGUACGGGAUAGUUGAUAAAUAAUAGAUUUAGUGAGUUGAGAGUAUCCUUAGGGAAUAAAUUUUAAUUCAAGUGUACUAUUCUUGUAUUGGAUUCUAAAUAUGUAAAACAGAAAAGUUUUAAUGCGUGUCGUGCAUGAUUAUGUCUCUGCACAAUUAUUAGUAUUUUUGUCAUACUUUUCUCUUCCAAUAUCCAAUUGAGGCGAUUUAAUGUAUAUUAGAAAGCUAACUUAAAGGGAUACAAUUAUUAUAGAAAUAAUAGUAUGCCACAAUGAUUCCCAAUCUCCAACUAAAAAUUUGAAGCAUAACUUGUGCAGUUAAUUAUAUUUCAAUCCUUCAUUCCUUGAAUUUUGAAUUGCUUCCAAUUAAUCCUAUGUGAUUUCAAUUGAUGUUUUGUGGUCUGAAUCAACAAUUAGAUAUUGUACAUUGGUCUCCAAAUUUUGGAUUUCUUCCAUUUUUUGUUCAUUUAUUCUAAUUUCACUUCCAAAUAUCCGGUUGUACCUAACAAAUGAAAUAUAUACAUAGUUAAGUCAUAAAUUAUCAAAAUUACUAAUAGUUAGCCCUAUUUAAUGGUCUAAAUAAGUCUAUAAAAUACACUUAUCAUUAGUCAACAUAUUCUUCCUAUGAUAUUUGAGAAACUACGCAUCUGGCAUGUUUGUCGAAGCGAUAGACAAUAUUGGGAGGUCAACCUCUUUCAAAUAUACAACAUAGAUUCUAGCAAUGCAAUAUAGUUGGAUUCACAUGUCGAUCUGAAUGAAUCAUCCUUUCGACGAGGGUUCAAUCUUUGCUUGCUAGGCAAGAGGAGAGCAAGUUACAAAUUUCAUCUCGGUAGGACAUUCUGCCUUCUUUUUAUUUAAAUUUUCUUAAUUCGUUAUUCAAUUACGACAUAAAUGAAAUGUGAAAUUCUUGAGUAAUCUACUUCCCUUCGAAUGAUGAAUCUCUUUAUUCUUAAUUUUAGAGUUAAAGUGACCGUCUGAUCACUAAGGCCGAAUUUCGUCCCUGAUCAAUGGCUAGGUCUUGCAAUAAUUUUUUUUUCAUAUCAAAAUUCGAUAUUGUGGGAGGCCAUAAUAUAAUUAUAAUUAAUAUAGUAGGGUUAGAGCUUUUCACUGGAAAAGGAUCAAAGACAGUGUAAUAAAGCAUCAAUACUAAUUGAUUCAUCCAUAAUUAAAUAUUAAAUAAAUCAAGAAAAAAAAAUAGAGAUCCACCGAAGAAGAUCCUUCUCUUUCCUUUUUAAGGAAGAAAAGGAGGAUCCAAAUAAAAUCGAUGAAAUUGAAGAAAUUCGAGUGAAUGGAAAGGAAAAAAACAUAGGACGAAAGAUUUUGAUCUUUAUCUCGGAGCCUCGAAGGAAAUAGCUUUCCUUACUUUGAUGAAAACUUUUCAAUUUUCAGAAUUCUCGCUCUUCUAAAGUGGUGUCUCACUAAUGGCUUGAGUCCCCCGGAAGGAGGCCUUCUUCAUCUUCUCCUACCCAUGGUGAAAUAAAAUUAUGGGUGCCCAAAAAUUGGAUAUAAUCAACAUGUUUUUCUUUCUUUAUUUAUUUUUUCAUGAUUAUGAAUUAUUAAAGGUAGAUGCAUGAGACACAAUCUACUAAUUAAUCAAGUUCUUAAUCUAUUUCUUUCAAAUACCCACUAUAAACAUAUCAGUGAUCUCAUUUAAUAAUAUCUCGGGGGCUAAUGAAACUAUUUUAGUAAAAUUUAACUGUCUCAAUUUUCGGGGGAUCACACCAAAAAUUCUAGUUCCUUUUGGAUUGAUCGAAGUUAUAUACUCUAUAAUAUAGGUCUUACCCAUACAAGUAAUGAAGAACUCGCUUUGGAAUAUUAUUUUCGAGAUAAAGAAGCCAAUGCAAUUGCCGGAAAUACUAGGCCUACUAAAGGCACAAAAGUAGAUGGGAAAUUGAAAGUUGUCAUAAAAUGGGUAUCAUGUCUAUUUCACCGAGCCUCUCUCCGAUACAGUGCCUAGAUCGUUACGCCUUUCGUGCGGGUCGGAACUUACCCCAUAAGGAAUUUCGCUACCUUAGGACCUUUUUGCUGAAGUGGUCUUGCCAAGCCUCGCCAUCCCAAAGAUGGACAUAAUUUAUAGUUGCAAGUUGGUUGUAUUUAUAGCCUCAUCCUUGAAGCCCUCUACAAUGUCUUCAUAAAUCAGAGAUUUUUCAGCAUGCAAUGACACUUGUUCACUUUGAUGAUCUAUUAAUUGUUGUUUUCCAAUUUAGUGACUCUAGUUCCUUUUUUUGAUUGCCACCCAAAAUUCUUGAUCUUCUCUAUGACAUGAGAAAGAAUAUAGUUAAGACACUAGAUAGGAGGAAAUUACUUGAUAAUACACUCAACUUAAUAUGAUGUCUCCAAUUCUUGUCACAUGUUGAUCAACCCCUUUGUGUAGCUACUCGUCUAUAUCUUUAAGAGACGACCACAGUAACAUUAGCUCAUCAUGGAUUAUUCUAAUUUCAUAUAUCACACUAGAAAUCCUGUUAUGUAUUGAUUCAUUAGUUUCUCCAGAUCACCACUGAGGGAAUCUACAAUGAAGAGAGACAAAACACUAGUAGAUUUCAGCAUACUACUUUGGAUUUUCGAGACUAUGAAUUAGUCCUGCAUCUUUAUGUUCAAUUUCAAGAUCAUAAUCUUUCGCAACAAAUCAGAAAGAGUCAUAUCCAGUCAUAAGGAUGGGAUCUCCUUUGACAAAGAAAUUGUAACCGUACUGACCACAACUUUAACAUCUAUCAAUUAAUUUUUGGUUUCCUCGAACUCAAUAAGCUAUAAUGGUGUAUCCCUAAAAAAGGUGAUUAAACAUCUUUAUAUUUUCAAUCAGACCACGGACUGAAAAAAAAUAAGUAUUGAUAAAGUUCUAUUUCGUCUAAAAUUUGGUAGACAAAAUCAAUUAAGGGAGCAACAAACUCAAUCCACAUUGGGGGCAGUAUUCUUAUCUGGGAUUGUGAACGAUGCUUGAAGCUCAAUUACAAAAGCACAAAAUAAAUGGGAAAAGUUUCUGUGUUCUUCAGUAGCUCGCACAAAACCUAGCAAAGCCUCGCUGAAUACCCUAGAAGGGCUAUGAAAUCAAUUAUUCUGUUAUUUUCAGAGUGAAAUUUUAAUAUGAAGUGAAUGACUAGAAUAAGUCAUCCCUGGCCAUCAAACUCUUCAAUAAGUUUGUCCAUGUAGGGGUAGUCUUCCGGAAGUACUUUUAGAUUGAAUGUAGAGGCGGCCAUCUUUUGAACCCUUUUCUAUGUAAUUUGGAUCAAUAAUAACUCUGAUGAUUGAGUGGAUGAGAUAGGAAAGCAGAGGAUAGAGGAAGCGAUGGGUUUGGUGGAUGAUGAAUUGCAAGAGAUUGAUUAAUGAACAUACGAAUUAAAUGAGCUCCUUGGUCAUCAUAAUAGUAGUAUUUUCUUUGAUACUAACUUUGCAUACAACAAUAUCACCAAGACUAGUAGCGUCAUGCAUAGAAUGAUAUUGAAUAUCAAUGUGGUUCUUCCUCUAAUGAAUCAUAUCUUUUGUGUUGAAAAUAGCGCUCUAACUAUCACAAAACACUAUAGUAACAUGUAAAUUUUCACUGACUUUACCAAAUAGUCCCUUUAACCAAGUAGCUUCCUUACAAGUCUCUGUAAUAGUCAUGUAGUCAACCUCAGUAGUAAACAAUGUAACUAUAGUCUAUAAAUUAGCUUUUCAACUGAUAGCACAACCACCAAUAGUAGAAAUAUGUCCUAUAAACGAUCUUCACUUAUGGAGGUCUCUAGCAAUCAGAAUCGCCAUACCUAAUGACUCCAUCUCCAUUUCUUCCAAAAUAUAAACAAACAUUAGUAUAGCCACACGAUAGGUAUUUGAAAAUCCACUAAACUUCUUUCCAAUGUUCUUUACCAGGGUUUGUCAUGUAGCCAUUGACUGCAUUGAUUGCAUAUAACGUGAAAAACCAUAGCAUACAUGAUAGAUCUUACAACAUUAGGAUACGAAACUCGUGACAUAUAGUCAACCUAAUCAUUAGAUUGUGAGAAUAAAGUAGAUGCAAGUCUGAAAUGGUUCACUAGAAGGGGACUAAUAGGUUUGGCAUUCUAUAUAUUCAACCUAUAGAGAACUUUCUCAAUGAACCCUUUCUGACUUCGGUACAAGUUGCAUUCCUUUCUAUCUCUUAGAAUCUCCAUUCCAAGUAUUUGCUGCUCAUAGGUCUUUUAUCUCAAAUUCAUUACUCACCUGGGAUUUAACCUAUCUUACCUCUCCCUUACCCUUGGAUACUCUCAACAUAUCAUUAACAUAUAAAAGUAGUUAUACAAGUGACCACCACCACUUUUCUUAAAGUAGACACAACUGUCAUAACUAUUUCUUUUGGGAUUAUGAGUGGUCAUAAAUGGGUCAAAGCUCUUAUACUACUGUUUGGGUGGCCGUAACAGGCCAUAAAAGGGACUUUUUCUGCAAGCAUACAUAAUUAUCCUAAUUUCUUGCAACUAGUCUUAAAGCCUUAUACCUAGUUUCUUAAACUCAUGGUAUUCCUUAUUUCUUUUUAAACACCCAUUUGCAAUGAACAACUUGCUUAUCCUUAGACUAUCACACUAAAUCCCAUGCACCAUUCCUAUUAAGCGAUUCCAUCUCUUCCUGUAUGAUAAUAAUCCAUCUACUAGAGUUAUCAUAACUAAUUGUCACUGAGUAGGUAGAGAGUUCUUUAUUGGAAUCAAUACUUUCAAACUUAUUCAAGACAUAGGCAACCAAAUCAGCCCCACCGUACCUCUUUGGAGGUCUAUAAUCUCUUUUGGGCCUAUCUUUAGCAAUAAAGUAUUGUGGUAGCAAUGGUGGUGGUGAGAAAGCAACAUCACUCUAUACUUGUGAGCUAGUAUGAGAUAUAGACUCGAGCAUAGACACUGACCCAAUUUCAAACUCUAUGUGUUUAAUUUCAGUUGAUUUUUAUUAAAAGAAUCUGGAAGGUAAGUCAUGGAGCAUUACACGUUUAUCGAAGAUAACCUAUCUAUUGACUUCGACUUUAUUGGUGUCUUGACACUAUAUCUUAUAUCCCUUAACACCAUACUUAUAGCCAAGAAAUACGCACAUUGAAGAUGUAGUUUCCAAUUUUCCAUUGUCAACAUAAGCGUAGGCACAACAUCCAAAUAGCUUCAAAUCGAUAUAACUAGCAAGAGUACCAGAUCAUACCUCUUCUAGAGUCAUUGUCACUGGUUGUUGAGGGUAAGUGAUUAACAAGAAAAAAGGUUGUAGAAACGGCUUUGGCCCUAAAUAUCUUAGGUAAAGCAGCGAUGGAAAGAAUACAACGUAUUUUCUCCAUCAACGUCCUAUUCAUCCAUUCUGCCACACUAUUUUGUUGCGGAGUCUAACAAACUAUUAAAUGCCUCAAAGUUCUUUCUAACUUGUAGAAAACAUUAAACUUUUUAGAACAAAACUCCAAGCCAUUAUUAGUGAGGAUAUGUUUUUCCUAUUUCCAUGUGUGCUUCUCAAUGAUGGUCUUCUACUCUUUGAAUGUAAUAAACACAUCACUCUUUUAAUUUAAGAAAAACGCCUAAACUUUUUAGGAAAUUUUAUCAUCAUUGAUAGUUAGCAUAAAGUAAGCAUCUUCUUUGGAGGACUGCCUAGAUGGUCCCUAGAGAUCUAAGUUUCGUAAUCAACUGUUUCAUUCAUAUUGUAAAUGCUUUUGGUGAAUCUAACUCUUUUUUACUUUCCAAAAAUGCAGUUCUCAUAAAACUUCAACGUACUAGUACUUUGUUCAUCAACAAGUCUACUCCUGUUUAGCUUAGCCAACCAUUCUCACUCAUUUGCCCAAGGUGCUUAUGCCAUAGUUAUCACCAUCUGACAAGGAAGAAGUAGUGACAAUUGCAACACUUAUGACCAUAGAACCCUACAAGAUAUAAAACUUGGUAGAUAUUCUUUGCCCUUUCAUCAUAAUGAGGGCAUCUUUGCUAACCUUUAGGACUGCACACUCAUCGAUAUAUUUGUACCCUUUUGAAUCAAGAGUACUUUAAAGAGGUAAGAUUUUUCUUCAAAUCUGGAACAUGUCUCACAUCACCAAGUUUCUUAAUAGACCAAAACAUAUUUUAAUUCUGUCAUUCCAAUAUCAACAUCUUACAAGGUGUUAUUUUCCAUUAUUACGGCAUCUUUAGAAACUGUUUCAAAUGUUGAAAACCACUUUCAAUUGAGAUUUAUAUGAAAUGUGCAAGUUGAAUCAAGAAUCCAUUUUUUGCAAGUCUUUGAGUAGCCAUUAAAAAAUGACAAAGAAUUGCUAGUACGUGGAGAAAAACUACCAUGCAUUUGGACAGAUAUCAUCUUUUUAUAAAUACAUUCCGAAAGGCUUUAGCUAUUUGUUAGGAACUCUCAUGAAAUCUUUACUUGUGUAUGCGGUGCUAUUUUAGACAUGAUUAUUUUUCCUAUCACUACCUUACUCUCACGUCGGAGGUCAAACGUGGGAGGUAACCCUAAAAUUUUUUGUAGAUAACUAGGUUGGACAGAUAGAUGGCUCCAUUUUGUUCUGCUAAAGAAUUUGAAGAGCCAUGUCGAAGCAAGUUUGUUAGCUCUAUCUAGUGGAACAGGACAUAAAAGCUAUUAUAGGACCAUAAACUAUAAGUAAAAUAGAAUUGGAAGGAAGUACAUCAGUUAGAAUAUGUAGGUCGGGAGAUCCAGAUCUACUGCCACUAGUUUAUGUCACUAUGAACCACUUUAAUGCCUUAGAGACUUAAAUGGCAACAAUGAUGGUCAUAUUGCAGAAUCAGGUUCAGAGAGUAACCGAAAUAACUCCUUAUCCACCUGAAAAUCAUCAAAUGUGACCACCUCUUGUAGCACAAGAAGCCACCUGGCACUUUUUGGGACAGCUAUGGUAGUUAUGGUAUCUUUCUACUUGGAGUGCCCCUAGCAAUGGUUACUACAACAAAAUUAUGAUUUUGCGAAAAGAUAUUUUGUGAUAUACAAAAAGUUGUCACAAUAAGUGAUUUAGCGUGACACAUUUUUCAAAUAUUAUUAUGAAAAAAAUUGAGUAUAAAAAAAGAUAAGGUGACAAGAAAAGUUGUGGUGAAAUGUGAGAAGGCGCAACAUAAAGACGAUUGCCAAAAACAUGAGGGAAGUAAGGCACCAAAAAUAUUUUUUGGCAGGAAAGUUUUGACGACAAACUUAUUUCUUGGGUAUAUACCAAAAAUAUAUGUACACACACACAUACAUACAUAUAUACCUAGAGACACACACACACACAUUAUUAUUUGUCCUUCAAGAUUCCUUUAUCAAAUUUAAGAAAUUUUCAAGUCCGAAACAUCAAGUAUAAAAAGAGAUGAAGAUUCCAACAGAGCGAGUUUUAGUGGGAGAUAAAAAGUUUUGUUUAGAAACCUUGUAUUAGUUUUAAAACUUCUCAAUUUUCAAAGUUAUUUCCAGUGUGUAUCAAGUUUGUAUUUCGAUUUUCAUCUCGAACUUUCAACAUUUUCAAUAAAAUUACCAUAUUCAACUCAUCUCUGUGUUUUUUAAUACUUGAAUCUCUACUACCCUUAUCCCCUGGACUUAUAUAACUAUUCAACAAAAUUUUGUAAAAAGUAUAUUUGUUUUUGACUUACAAAAACUUGAUCAUAUAAUUUAUUUCUUCUUCAUUGGGUAUGUCGAUUUAUCUUUUGUAAUUGAGUGAAGCAAACGAUUGAACGAUUUAGCCAUACUUAUUAGCCAAAUGUGUUGCUGAUUUUCAAUAGUUCUUCCCAAUUUUUAGAAAUCUCCAACAAUAUUUUUCCAACUGGAUUGAUGAUAUCACCAACGAUAUUUUGUAGAUUGUCAUGCAUGUUGCAUCUUUGAACCUCCCUGGGUUUUGGAGGCGCCACUGCUCCAAGGCCCUUACUCAUUGACUUAGAGUAGAAAAUAGAAGAGAUGAUGGCAAAUUUUUUUUGUAAAGUCCCGAAAUUUUAUAUUCUUAAUUUGGUUGACGUGACCCAGUUAUGAAAUGAGCACUAAAAGCUCGCCCAUUUAAGGUAAUGAAAAACUAGGACAUAAGCUAUAAAAUCUCAAAGAUUUAAGGCAUUGAGUUUAAAUGAAUUUGAGUGCAAAAAUUUAAUGAAUAAUUGGUUGCCACAAUGGUCAUCUAUAUGGUAUUUUAUAUAGGUAAUCUAGGUUGGUAUCAGCAUGCAAGAGUAUUUAUAUCAUAUUUUUAUAAAAAUAUUUUUUGAGUUAGAAACUCCACAUUUUCACGUUAGGGCACAUCUAUGUUAAAAUUAUUCAUGGAGAUUGUUUACAAGUCUCAUAAACCAUUCUCCAGUUUAAACUUUGCAGAUGUUUUUAUAAAAAUUAUUUUUGAGCUUAAAAUUCUCACUUAAAGGCUCACUUUAAUAAGGUUUAUUGUUAUAUAACUCUUCCAUUUAAUUUUUCACUAAAAAUGAGGUUAUAAGAAGACGAAGAUCGCUUUUUUUACCCCUCCUCUCCUUAAAUUAAUCCAAAUUUCACUUUUCUUCCUCCCAAAUUUGUGUCAGUGCUAGAUUAUUAACAUGAAGUAUUACUAGAAUUUGAUAAUUCAAGGCAAAAGAUUUCUCAUUUCAUAACAAGAAUUUACCUUUUUUAAUGAUAUGACGUGUAUUGGAAUUCUUAGAGUUAUGAAAUCAGAGGUUUAUGUAUAUGGCAUAACCAAUCCCUACAAUAUCAAGGGAUUCUUCGAAUGAAUUUGUAGGUCUUCAUCUACAUAAAAUGUUAAAUUCUUUUCUAUCACUUUGUAUGUAUGUGUAUAUGUUUAUGAUCAAAAUGGUGCAGCAAAUGAUAUAAUACGUACUUAGCUUAAGGCUCAUACUCUUUUUGUUCAUUAUUUUUUAGAUUAAAUGAUGGUCGAGGAAAUGGGAUUCACAUGGAUUGCGGAUGAUCCAAAGGGAGAAAGGUGCUUCAUUUCUGUUGUUAGCACAUUUAAAGAAUUUAUAGUUCUUACUAGUUACAUUUAAUUUCUAAACGAUGUUAGUUUAACUUUACUUCUUGAAAGACUUUCUAGUUCUUUUUCUUAAUGUGAACAUUGUAACUGUAAUUGGUUUAAGUAUGCAGUUAAUUUAAGUUGCUAAAAUAUUUUACCUCGUGCUUGUAAAAUAUAAAAUUUUAGCUUUUUUGCCUAAACAUUAUCUCGCCACCCUAUACAGUAUUUUUAGAGUAUCAGUAAGAUUGGAUAGCCUUAUGAGUCCCCCUAUCCAUAGGCUUUGGAAUCAAGUCAUUUGGAGGUUGGUAGGAAAAAUUAUGGCAUUUCUCGUGUACUACAAGAAGUCUAUCCGAGAGCAAUUGGUAAUACGAGUUUGAACAAUUUAGUAAGUGGUUAAAUGUUGUUGAAACACACUGAAAUUUAUAUUUUAUUUUUAGAUAUGUUGUAAAGAUGUUGUAUGCAUUUCAUGACAUUCAGAAUCCAACUGAUAAUCCAAAUAUGCACGAACAUUAUGUUGCACAGCGUCUUAGGUUAAAGACAAUAAGUUUGUUUAAAAUUAAUUUACUAUUUUUUUCUGAAAAACUUAAAAUCUUAAGAAUGCCUUUUAGGUAUCGAACUGGACUUAAGAUUCGGGGUGUUACAACUUGAUACGAGAGCUCAAGAUUUUAAAAAUUAUCUAUAAAUAUUAUCGAUGCAUAAAUAAAUCAUUUAUUUCUUUAGUAUGUACUUAUGCGUGUAGAUGUAAUUUAAAUGAGAACAUUUAGUAAUUAGUACUAUGUCAAUAUGACAUUAUUUAGCAUGUUAUGUGUUUAAAAACUUUAAAUAAAUUUGUUCAACGCAAAUGUCUUAUGUGCUUAAGAAAAGUAUUAAAAGCUAAAAAAAUGACUUAAUGAUUUGACUUCUCCUUGGUAUUCCGCAUCAAUUAAUCAUCUAGAUCUUCAAUCUAGGUUUGUUUUAUUUAACAUUUUCACGGAAAUUCAAAUUUAUGUUUUCCCGAAUUUUCAUUAGGUUGACUGAUUUAUCUCAUAAUUAGCAAAGAAUUCCACUGCUGUUUCUUGGAAAGCUUUAAAAAAACAUUAGAAAAUAAAGAUAGAAGAGUUCCCCACUAUUUACUGAAGAUUAAAAAGAGAUGACAUCCUAAUUUCUAAAGAAUAGAAAAAGAUCAAAUCUCACUCUGGAAACCCUAAGCUUUCUUUAAAACCAUCACCGGCCUGCAUCUCUCUUUAAAUCCAGUCAAUCAGGUAAAAAUUAAUAUCCAUUAUGCAUCUAUUCAUGAAGACAUAUACAAAAUUUGUUUAUAUUUAAAGAAAUUAUAACUGCAUUCCUUUGUAUAUUAGGAAUCUGUUAUGAAAUAUUUGGUAUUAUUGAAUUGUGGACAGGAUUUUGGACUUAAAUAAAUGUAAUUCAUGAAAUGGAGAAAUGAUGAAAGAAUAAAUGACACAGCUUCGGAGUGGCAUAUGAAAAAAAUUAUAAACUGAAGGAACCUUUUGAAUUUAUCUGAAUGUCUCACUUAACUUGUGUACUGGUUAGCAUGUACAUUUUUCGUGCGUUCCAUGUGCAAACUUAUGCAAUUAAUAAUGUGUCGAUACCAAAUAUUAAUUUUUCAAAUUAAUUCAUUGUGAUCUUUUUUCUAGGAUAUUUAAUAGUACUUACUAGUUUUUAGAAUCACUUAAUUUAAAAGAAAAUGAAACAAGUAUUGUGUUUACGUCAACACUAUCAUUUGCCGGUAUGACUUUCAUAGGAUUCAGUGUCUAUCACUUCGAUAAUAAGUUUUAAUUUAAAUUUACAUAUUGAAUAUGCAUGGAAUUUUUUGUGAAAAUUUAGUAUAUAAAAUGCAAAUUUAUGAAAAACAAUACAUGAAAUGUAAAUGAAUUGUGUAAGUACAGUUUAGAAUAAAAAAUAAUAAGUCUGUGUUGCUUCAGAGCACCUGGAGUUCGUCCCUUAGAUAUAAGUUUACCAUAUAUGUCGUUGUGUAAUUUAAUUGUCCCUAGGUUUCAAUUCCACUAGGUUUAAGGAAUACUGUAAUUUGCAUGUAUCGCGGGCCCCGAUAAUAAGGCAAUGGAUUUUGUUAAACCCAAUUUUUAAAAUUACCUUUUUUAAUCACGAAAUUAAUUUACUAAACAAUAAGUUAAUGAAAGUAUUGAAAUGUAAACAGACAGAACACAUUAUAUAAAAUAUUUUCUUCUUUAGGAAAAUGUAGUUUAAAAUAUUUUCGUAUAUUUUUAAAUAUUACACUAUAAAUAAUUAUUAAAUAAAAUGUAAACACAGAGAACACAUUAUAUAAAAUGUAACAAGAAAUAGUUACACAUAAUCUUGUAAAAACUUUCGUUUUAGUAACAUCCUGAUUGGAGAACUUGUGAGAGGAAAAAAAUUACACAUUGGAAGGCGUACAUUGAAAAUUAAGUUGUUAAACACAACUAAAGGAUUAUUCUUAUUUUCUAGUUUAACUUGACCAUGUGUACUAGUUAGCACAUGCAACGCUUUUGCAUUGCACCUAUAAAGUUCAGUUAAAUUACUAAUAAAAGCGUGAAUUUUAUUUAAUUUCUUUCCAAAAUACAGAAGUUCGUACAAAUAUAGUCGUCGUUACCUUCUUUUUGGAACCACUCAAGAGAAUUUAUUCGUAUCUAGAAUAACUUAAUUUUGAAAAGAAAUGGAACAAAUGCACAAUUAUUCUUGUGGGAGCAUCUUUUGUAAUAUACAAUGCCUAGAAGGAAAGGACCCAAUUACUGCAGCUUUUCAACUUGGAGAAUAGAUCAACAAAUGUAAAAAAUAUUCAUGGAAGAUGCUUGACUUGAAAUAGUCAUUGCAUAAUUUAUCAACGACCUUGGUGUCAAAUGUAAUCUUUGCAUAUUCUCUGUUCCUAAAUUCACCUAGCAAACACGAAAUGAGAAUAGAUUAUUACAUCUUGAAAAUGUAAGAUGUACACAUGUUUAUUAUAGUGAUAUGCACGUUUUUCCAACGAAUCUCGUCCGAGUUCAAGAAAACACGAAAUUCCUCCUUUCUUGAGCUCGCUUAGAUCAACAUGCACUGAGUGAUGACUAAACUUGGUUAGUUUCGAAUAUUGAACUUCUGGCAUCAAAGAAAAAUGCAUAAAUCCGUUGCCAGAGAAUUUGGGUGGUGGUCACCAUUUUGGUGGUGAUACGAACAAGGCAGUUGUGCAAGGGAAUGAAUCUUCCCGGGGAAAUGCCUCGAUUUGCAAAAUGUCCUUAACCCCAAAAUCAAAGUCACUUUCAAAGCUCACAAUGAAUGCAACAGUACUUAGGGUUAGUUUGUUUUCUUCGGAUGACUGGUUAUGAAAAAUAGUGAAUUUUGUCAAUUGAUUCAAUGCACGGCCUAAGCAAGUGCCUGGAAUGCUAUGUAAAAUUUAAUUACAUCGGAUAUGGAUAAAUUUAGUAAAUUACUCUUUGAAUUUUUAAUAAUAUCAUAAUGAUAGUUGACUUAUUUAUCUUAACUAAUCAGAGAAUACAUUGCUAUAUUUUUGAAAGCUCCAUCAACACAUGAUAAGAAGGAGUACCACACCAUUUACUCAGGGAAUUGCGUAUAAAAUAGUUAAUAAGAGAUGAAACCAUAAAUUAUAAACAAGAAAAGAGCUCAAUCCUCAAUGCUGUCACAGUCAGCCUUCAUGUCAUUGUCGCUUAUGUUUAUCUUCAAAUUAGUUAAUCAAGUAAACAUAAUGCUCAUCAUGUAUGUAUUGAAGAAUGCAUAAAUUGAUAAGAUUAGAUCGCGUGGACCUAAAUUUUGUCCAAUACGUGCAUUCCCUUUAAUAUUAUUGCUUUAGAAAGGGAUAUGGCAAAAAUUAUUAUUAUUAUUAUUUUUUACCAGACCUAGAGAAUUUGUAUUGACUUGUUUAACAUCAUGUAGACUAGUUAACAUGUGCAUUUCGCUUGCGCUCCAUAUCUAAAUUUAGCCCCUGUUUGAGCCACAUUAUUUUCAAAAAAAUACAUUUUUCAACAGUGAUUUGACGUCAUUUCAAUCACACAUUCUUUAAUAAAAUAACACACAAAUCUAAAACUUUUUUUUUAUUAUUUUUAACCACACAUUUCCCAUUAAUUUGACAUCAAUAAUGCAAUUUUUUCCCUAUAAUGUGACUCAAACAAGCCCUAAUAAAUGUUUCAAUAUGAUUUAUUUAUGUUAUUUCAAACCUUCAGAAAUUUAAUGUACUUACUAAUUACAUCGUUUAGAUAUUCUAUCCUGUGGUAUUAAUAAUAAUUGCCACUUUCUAUAGUCAUUUAAUUUCCAAUGAAAUGAAACAAAUGGAUAGUGUUGGAAAUCAAUUAUAAUCUAGUGCCACUUCAUUAAAGGAAUGGUAUAGUUAGGAUUAGUAAAAUUUACAGAGAUGGAUUAUAGCCAGGAAGGUUAUCAUGACACUGAUUUGGGUCGAUCAAAAAACAAAUUCCACUACGAUUAGUGGUGGUGCUAGCGGAGGUGGUGUUCCAGAAAUUGGGAUUUGAAGCUGAAGCGGUCUUGACGUUGCUGAUUAAAUUCUAAGUCCAAGAACAAAGAGGCCCUGGUGAGACCACACAUUGCUAUGAUGGGAAUGUUUCAUUCCAAGGUUGGAUUUCUCACGUUUGGAAGAUUCACCCCCUUGGAAAAGUGCUAUGGUCGCACCAACACCAAAAUGUUUGGCCACCCAAAUUAUCCUACAAUAGAUUUAUUAAUCUUUGAUGAUAGAACUUAAAUAUUCGAAACUAACCAAGCUUCGCAAUCACUCAAUGCAUGUUGAUCCAUACUUGUUUGGCAUGAUUAACUGGGGUAAGCUCAGGAAAAGAGGAAUUCAAUGUUUUUUUCUUUCAAGAACUUUAUAUCUUAAUAGCCAAUUUUGAAUCAUUUAUGCAUUUUGGAUUCGGGGCCCCAGAGUCCACAGCCAUCUCGUUGGGGAGAGAAAUAGGAUUUAACAGAAGAGGAAAAGUCUUGGCUUAAAAAAUGUCCUAAACCCCAAAAUUAAAGUCAUUUUCAACACUCACAAUGAAGGCAACAUUGCUUAGGGUUAGUUUGUUUUCCUCCACUGACUGCUUAUAAAAGACAUGAAUUUCGUCAAUUCAUUCCAUACACGGCCUAGCACCGUGCUUGGAAUGCUAUGUAUAAUGUAAUUACAUCGUAUUCUCUACAUUUCGGAAAGGCAUAUGCAAAAAUUACCUUUUUAUACAGGACCUCAAGAUUUUGUCUUGGCUUCUCAUUUAACUUCUUGUAGUAAGCAUGUGCAAUUCGCGUGUGCCGGAUGUAUAAAAUACGUAAAAUUAGUACUAAUUACUAUCUCAAUAUGAUUUGUUUAUUUUAUUUCAAACGUCCAGAACAUUAUUUUAAUUACUAAUUACCUCAUUGAAAAUAUUCUUUUAUACGGUAUUAAUAAUAAUUGCCACUCUAUAUAGUCACUUAAUUUCCAAUGAAAUGAAACUAGUGGAUAGUGCUGGAAGUGGAAUAUAAUCUAGCGUGUAUUAAUUAAAGAGAUGGCAUAGUUAGGGUCACUAAAAUUUACGGAGAUGGAUUAUGCCCAAGAAGGUUAUCAGGACAUUGAUUUGGGUUGAUCGAAAAACCCAUUUCGUUGUGACUGGUGGUGGCGCAAGUGGAUGCGUUGCUCCACAAAUUGGUGUUUGAGCCUAAAGUGGUCGUGGCGUUGCUGAUUAAAUUUUAAGUCCAAGAAUAAAGAGGCCUUGGUGGAACCACUUAUUGUUGUGAUGAGAAUGUUUCAUUCUGAGGUUGGAUUUCUCCCAUUGGAAGUUUCAACCCUUGCAAAAGUGCUAAUGCUCGCACCACCACCAAAAUGGUGGCCACCACCAACUUUUUCGUGCCCCUAAUUUAUGCAUUAAUCCUCACUGACAGAAGUUAGAUAUUCGAAACUAACCAAGCUUCGCUGUCACUCAAUGCAUGUUGAUCCAUACUUGUUUGGCAUGAUUGUCUGUGUUGAGCUCAUGAAAGGAGGAAUUCAGUGUUUUCUUCUUUUAAGAAAUUUACAUCUUGAAAGCCAAUUGAAUCAUAUAUGAAUUUUGGUUUUGGGCCCUAGAGUCCACAAUCUUCUCACUGGGGAGAGAAAUAGGAUUUUACAGAAUAGGAAAAGCCUCGGCUUCAAAAAUAUCCUUAAUCCCAAAAUCAAAGUAAUUUUCAAAGCUCACAAUAAAUGUAACAUUAAUUUAGGGUUAUUUGUUUUCUUAGGAUGAUUGCUUAUAAAAUAUAGUAAAUUUCGUCAAUUAAUUCAAUGCACAUGACUAGAUUGCUAUGUAAAAUUUGAUUACAAUGUAUACUAUAGGUUUUCGAAAAGCGUAUGGCAAAAAUAAGCUUGUUACACCAGACAUUGAGAAUUCGUCAUCACUUCUUGUUUAACUUCUUUUAGACAAGACAGCAUUUGGCAUGUGCUCCAUGUAUAAAAUUAGUAAAAUUAGUACUAAUUAAUUUCUCAAUAUGAUUUAUUUAUUUUAUUUCUAACUUUUGGGAAGUUAAUGUCUCACUAAUUACAUCAAUGAAAUGUUUCUUUCCAUGGUAUUAAUAAUUGCCACCUUCUAUAGUCACUUAAUUUCCAAUGAAACGAAACCAGUGGAUAGUGUUGGAAAUGGAUUGUAAUCUAGUGCCGCCUCAUUAAAGACAUGAUAUGGAUAGGAAUAGUAAAAUUUACUGAGAUGGAUUAUAGCCAAGAAGGUUAACAGGACAUUGAUUUUGGUUGAUCGAAAAACCCAUUCCUCUGUGGUUGGUGGUUAUGCUAGCGGAUGUGUUAUUUGAGAAAUUGAGGUUUGAGGCUGAAGCAGUGGUUGCAUUACUUAUGAGACUUUGAGUCCCAAAGAAAAAGGGGCCAUGAUGGAACCACAUAUUGCUAUAAUGGGAAUGUUUCAUUCCGAGGUUGGAUUUUUCCCAUCGAAAGAUUCAUCCCUUUUUAGAAGUGCCAUGUUCGCACCACCACCAAAAUGGUGUCCACCACCCAAAUUCAGGGUCUACACACUAAUCUUUGAAAACUGAAGUUAGAUAUUCUAAACUAACCAAGUUUCGCCAUCAGUACUCAAUGUAUUUUGAUCCAUACUUGUUUGGCAUGGUUAACUAUGUCAAGCUCAUAAAAGGAGGAAUUCGGUGUUUUUGUCUUUCAAGAACUUUAUAUCCUGAUAGCCAAUUUUGAAUCACAUAUGAAUUUUGGAUUUGGGGCCCUAGAGUCCAUAGCCAUCUCAUUGGUUAAGAAAUAGGAUUUGACAGAAGAGGAAAAGCCUCAACUUCAAACAUGAACUUAAUCCCAAAAUGAAAGUCAUGUUCAAGGCUCAAAAUGAAGGUAACAUUACUUAGGGUUAGUUUGUUUUCCUCUGAUGACAGCUUAUAAAAGACAGUGAAUUUCGUCAAUUCAUUCCGUACACGGCCUAGCACAUGCCUACAAUGCUAUGUAAAAUGUAAUUACAUCGUAUGCUCUAGGUUUCAAAAAGGCAUAUGGAGAAAAUUCCCUUUUUAUACAAGACCUUGAGAUUUUGUCUUGCCUUCUCAUUUAACUUCUUGUAGACUAGUAAGCACGUGCAUUUUGCGUGUGCUCGACAUAUAAAAUUAGUAAAAUAGGUACUAAUUAGUUUCUCAAUGUGACUUGUCUAUUUUAUUUCAAACUUUUACUUACUAAUUACAUCAUUGAAAAUAUUCUUUUAUACGGUGCUAAUAAUGACUACCACUUUCUAUAGUCACUUAAUUUCCAAUGAAAUGAAACCAGUGGAUAGUGUUGGAAAUGGAUUAUAAUCUAGUGCCACUUCAUUAAAGAGAGAUGGUAUAGGUUGGGCAACUAAAAUUUACAGAGAUGGUUUAUGCUGAGGAAGGUUAUCAAGACAUUGAUUUGAGGCUAAAGCGAUCGUGGCA
Molecule: long non-coding RNA, 36911 nt
Filed under: Olea europaea (common olive)
Lineage: Eukaryota; Viridiplantae; Streptophyta; Magnoliopsida; Lamiales; Oleaceae
Description: long non-coding RNA (OEUR_LNC010815)
Source: RNAcentral